UAGGGAAUCUUCCGCAAUGGGCGAAAGCUUGACGGAGCAACGCCGCGUGAGUGAUGAAGGUCUUCGGAUCAUAAAACUCUGUUAUUAGGGAAGAACAAAUGUGUAAGUAACUAUGCACGUCUUGACGGUACCUAAUCAGAAAGCCACGGCUAACUACGUGCCAGCAGCCGCGGUAAUACGUAGGUGGCAAGCGUUAUCCGGAAUUAUUGGGCGUAAAGCGCGCGUAGGCGGUUUUUUAAGUCUGAUGUGAAAGCCCACGGCUCAACCGUGGAGGGUCAUUGGAAACUGGAAAACUUGAGUGCAGAAGAGGAAAGUGGAAUUCCAUGUGUAGCAGUGAAAUGCGCAGAGAUAUGGAGGAACACCAGUGGCGAAGGCGACUUUCUGGUCUGUAACUGACGCUGAUGUGCGAAAGCGUGGGGAUCAAACAGG
Molecule: ribosomal RNA, 429 nt
Filed under: Actinomycetes bacterium
Lineage: Bacteria; Bacillati; Actinomycetota; Actinomycetes
Description: Actinobacteria bacterium partial 16S ribosomal RNA
Rfam family: Bacterial small subunit ribosomal RNA
Source: RNAcentral